This 439-nucleotide ribosomal RNA is filed under the name uncultured bacterium. RNAcentral's name for it is "partial 16S ribosomal RNA". It matches the Rfam family "Bacterial small subunit ribosomal RNA", at positions 338 to 795 of the family's 1533-position model. The record is from RNAcentral.
CCUACGGGUGGCAGCAGUGGGGAAGAUUGCACAAUGGGCGAAAGCUUGAUGCAGCAACGCCGCGUGAGCGAUGAAGGCCUUCGGGUCGUAAAGCUCUGUCCUCAAGGAAGAUAAGGACGGUACGUGAGGAGGAAGCCCCGGCGAACUACGUGCCAGCAGCCGCGGUAAUACGUAGGGGGCUAGGGUUAUCCGGAAUUACUGGGCGUUAGGGGGGCGUAGGUGGUUUCUGAAGUCAGAGGUGAAAGGCUACGGCUCAACCGUAGUAAGCCUUUGAAACUGGGGAACUUGAGUGCAGGAGAGGACAGUUGACUUCCUAGUGUAGCGGUGAAAUGCGUCGAUAUUAGGAGGAACACCAGUUGCGCCGGCGGCUCGCUGGACUGUACCUGACACUGAGGCACGACCGCGUGGGGAGCAAACAGGAUUAGAUACCCGGGUAGUC